AUGGACAAGUGGAUGAAGGGUGGCUGCAUGAAUACACAGAUGCUGGACAAAUGGAUGGACGUCCUGGGCACAGAGCAAUCAACAGCUGCAAAGUUGCUGCUCCAGCCCGGCCCCCAAGAGGCAGGCCCCAGGUGCUGGCCCCACGGGUUUUGGUCUGAGUCUCAGUCAUGGUGGUAUAUCUUUGGCAGUGGGACCCAGCUCUCAGUCACAUGUCAGCCUGUGGUCACCCCCUUGGUCACUCUGUUUCUGCCCUCCUCAGAGGAGCUCAAGGCCACCCUGGUGUGUCUGAUCAGUGACUUCUACCCAGGCACAGUGACGGUAGCCUGGAAGGCAGAUGGAGUCACCAUCACCCAGGGUGUGGACACCACCCAGCCCUCCAAACAGCAACAAGUACAUGGCCAGAACGUCCUCAGCCUGUCACAUGGACAGUGGACAUCACAUAGCCGCUUCAUUUGCCAGGUCACCCAUGAGGGGAAAACCACGGAGAAGAGCGUGGCCCCUGCACACUGUCCUUAGGGACCAACUCUCAUCCACCUAUGGGGUCUGGAAGCUGCAGGACCCCAGGAAAGGGCUUCUCCUUCCACCCCUUCCCUGAUAUCCUGGCCCUCCCCACCCCUGCAUCCAAUAAACUCUCAAUAAACAUCUUCAUUGUC
Molecule: non-coding RNA, 653 nt
Organism: Oryctolagus cuniculus (rabbit)
Lineage: Eukaryota; Metazoa; Chordata; Mammalia; Lagomorpha; Leporidae
Source: the annotation of a RefSeq genome assembly